CUAGGUCCUAAGAGAAAAAAAAAUGAUUACUUCUUUUGGAAAUCCCAUCCCGGAGACUUAAGAGAAGGCUUUCUGUGAUUUUCUCCAUCCUGUGACACUGGUGGAGAAUCUAGACACUUAAUGAUUACUGUAGGGUCUAUGGCUUAAUGAAAAGUUUUAAGUAGAGACACGAGGGUAUUUGCAUUGGGAGUGAGAAUGGGAAGAGGAUUUUCUCUGCUCAGAAACAAUUCUCCCAUUCUGUUGAUUAUCUCUUCACUCAGAUGAUUGGUUCUUUUGCAGUGCAGAAGCCCCUUAAUUUGAUAUAAUCCCACUUGUCUAUUUUUGCUUCUAUUGCCUGUGCUUUAGGGAUCUGUUGCCUAUAUCAGUGUCUUGAUCUGUUACUCUUACUUUUUCUUUAAUGUUUUCAUGGUUUCUGGUCAUAAAUUUAGGUUUGAUUCAUUUCAGGGUAAUUUUGUGUGGUUGAGAAGUAGGGGGUCCUGUUUUACUCUUUAUAUAUAAUAUAUAUACUUUUUGCACAUAUGUGUGUGUCCAGUUUUCUGAACCCUAUUUAUUGAAAAGACUAUCUCUUCUCCAUGUUAGUUCCUUGUCAAAGAAAAGUUGCCUGGGGCCAGGUAUUAUUGUUUAGCAGGAGGUUAAGCUUCCCCUUCGAGUACCUGCAUUCCAUAUCAGAGUGCCUGUUCAAGUCCUGGUUAGUCCACAUCUGAUCCAACUCCCUCCUAAAGCUAAAGGCAUCACAAUUCCUGACUUCCAUGCAAUUAUUGCUUAUAGCCAUUGCCUAUAUUUCCACUAAACUAGGGUUGCUUUUUUUUUUUGCUUUUUACUUGCUAAACUUCUUAUUUAUGAAGUGUUAAGAGUUCUUGCUAUGAUGUAAAUUUAAAAUGGAAUCUCAAAAACUACAAAAUAACAGAAAGGGGGAAUAAAAAAGGAUAGGAGAAAGAAAGAAAGAGGGAAAGGGAGUGGGGGAGUGAGGGAAUAGAUUUAUAUUUUUAGAGUUGUAUCUACAAACCAUAUUGAAUCUAUUAAAACUAAUUAAAAUCUUAAAAAUUUAAAUAUAAAAUACCUUAAUUUCAAAGCAUACUACAAGAUUAUGGUAAUUAAAAUAACAUGGUAAUGCCAUUAAAAGCUAGCACAUAGAUCAUUGAAACAGGAUACAGAGUCCAGAAAUUAAUCUACAUACAUAUAGCCAACUAAUUUUUGAGAAAAGUGACCAGACCAUACAUUGGAGUAAGGAUAAUCUCUUCAAUAAAUACUGCUGGCAAAACUUGAUGCAUAUUAUGUAGAAGAAUGAAAUUAGAUCUAUACCUCUCACCAUAUAAAAAAUCAAAUCAAGAUGGAUCAAAGAUCUAAAUUUAAGACCAGAGGCUAUGAAGUUGCUGAAAGAAAAUAUAGGGGAAAUCUCCAGAACAUUGAUGUAGGGGACGACUUCUUGGAUAAGAUAAGACCCCUGAAGCAUAGGCAACAAAAUCAAAAUUAAACAAAUGGGAUUAUGCUAGGUUACUUUUAUAAGAAAAAUUAUAUUAAUGGCAGACAUUUCUUCAGAAACCUGACAGGCCAAAACAGAAAGGAAUUAUUUAGUCCAAUUUCUGAAACAAAAGAAUUUCCAGCUAAGAAUAAUUUACCCAGCAAAGCCAUUUUUUAUCAAUGAAGGAGAGAUAAAGGCUUUCAAAAUAAGCAAAUCAGUUCUUUUUUGAAACUUUGGAAGAAAUCAGCAGCGAAGCCAUCCAGACCUGGACUUUUCUUUGUUGGGAGGGUAUACAUUAUUGAUUCAAACUAUGUCUUGGUUAUUGGUCUCUUUAGGCUUUCUAUGUCUUCAUGACUGAAUUUUGUAGAUUGUAUGUAUCCAGAAAUCUAUCCAUUUCUUUCUAGAUUUUCCAGUUUGUUGGCAUAUAGCUGUUUAUACUCAUUCUGACGAUUCUUUUUUAAUUUCUUUGAUAUCUUUUGUAACAUCUCUCUUUUCAUCUCUACUUUUAUUGAUUUGGGUCUUCCCCCAUCCCAUUUUUAUUCUUAGUUAGGCUAAUGGUAUAUCAGUCUUGUUUAGGUUUUCAAAAAACCUGCCCUUUGGCUGGCGCUGUGGCUCUCUAGGCUAAUCCUCAGCACGCGGCACCGGCACCCAGGUUCUAGUCCAGGUUGGGUUGCCGUUUCUGUCCUGGUUGCUCCUCUUCCAGUCCAGCUCUCUGCUGUGGCCCGGGAGGGCAGUGGAGGAUGGCCCAAGUGCUUGGGCCCAGCACCCGCAUGGGAGACCAGGAGGAAGCACCUGGCUCCUGGCAUCGGAUCUGCACAGCACACCGGCCGUAGCAGCCAUUUUGGGGGUGAAUCAACAGAAGGAAGACCUUUCUCUCUUUCUCUCUCUCUCACUGUCUAACUCUGCAUGUCAAAAAAAAAAAAAACUGUACAUUUUAGAAUCUUUUCUUUAUGUUUUACUGUUGAAACCUUGACUAUAAUGUGCCAUCUGAAGAUCUUUUCCUGUCAUGUCUAUUAGGAGUUCUAUGUGCUUCCUGUAUUUGAAUGUCCCUUUCUUUCUCUGAAUUAGGAAAGUUUUCUGCUGUUAUUUCAGUAAAUAAUCCUUCUAAUCCAUUCUCUCUUUCCAUACCUUCAGGAACUCCCAAGACCCAUAUUUUAGGUCAUUUGAUAGUAUGACAUAAAUCUCAAAUACUGUUUUCAGUUUUUCUGUAUUUUUAUCUGAGAUAUUUCCAAAGAUUUGUGUUUUAACUCAGAUAGUCUUUCUUCUGCCUAACCAAGUCUGUUGUUAUGGCUUUCCACUGUAUUUUUAUUUGACAUAUGAAUUCUUCAUUUAUGGUAUUUCAAUUUGAUUUCCUUUCAAUAUUUAUAUAUAUCAGCAAAAUUUUUCUUUAUUGAGUUUUCUUCUCAUUUUUGAGUAAUCUUAUGAUCAAUCUUUUGAAUUCCUUUUUAGGCAUUUCAUCAAUCUCUUUGUCUUCAAUUUUUAAUAUUGAAGUAUUGUGUCCCUUUGGGUAGUUAUAUUGUCUUCCUUUUUCCUUGUUCAUGUUUCUCAUAUUUCUACAUUUAUUUUUAGGCAUUUGUGGAACCACUUGGUUUUCUUAUGGCUUUUGUUUUGAAAUGUGCCUCCGUGGCUUAGUGGAGAUCUAUUCCGUCAGUGGCUAUUCUGGGUGGAGCCAGAGAGCUCCAGUCAGUACUCAGAAGUGGAGCAAGCGUCCAGAGUACACAUAAGUCAGGUGUGGCUGAUGCUGUUGAUCCGGGGAACACUCCUGGAAUAACAGUUACAAAGAGAGAAAGGUAAAUUCACAUCAUAAAAAGGAGCUUCGACUUCUAACAUUCCAUUGGCUUCCUACUGGAUUUGAGAUGAAGAUGAACAUUCUUGGCAUAUCUUCAGGUCCAACAUGGUCUUGAUUCCUCCAUGGCCAUCGUAACAUCUCAUUUUAUUCAAUUUCAGCACUCUAGCCACUGUGAGUUCUUUAAGCUCUUGAAGAAUUGAAUCUGACUCUCCCUGUAAUUGUUCUUACUAUGUCAACUCAUUGAUAAACCUAUUAGAGAUUAUCUCCUUGUCAUAAGAGAGAGGCACCAUCAAAUCCUAUACUGGUACAGGGGUGAACAGUCAAGUUAAUAAUAUUCAAAUUGAACAUGUUGCCAUUCAAGUUUAGUUUUUACAGUCUGAAAAAUUAAAUUUAGAAAAUAUUUGUUUUUGCAAGAAAUCCCACACAACUGCACAUCUUAUUAGACACCAAUACUUCUUUGACUCCACCAGUUUAAGUAUUUUAAUAUAGAUAGAAAUAUUAUUUCUGUAGUUGUUACGCUGGAUAUGGAUAAGUCAUGUAUACUUCUUCUAGCAUGGCUUGUCAAAAUAAAUAUAGUGCAAUUUAAAUGUUUCAGGGCUUCAGCUGGAAAAAGAAAAUAGUGAAUGUUGGAAUUCUUGUGAAAAAUAACUAAGUGACAAGAGAGAAUAGGGUAUAAAACAAUGCCAGACUGGGAAUCAGAAGAUUAUUUGAUUCUCCCCUACCAACUUGCUGGGACUUCUGCUAGUCACAACCUUUCAAACCUUUUUUUUUUUUUUCACUUAAAGGAUAUAGACAGAAUAAAAUUGUGAAUAUAAAAGCCCCUUUAGUGACUGGCAAGAUUUCAGUAGCAUUCCCUAACCCUUGUUUUCCAGCUGUAUUUGUGAUAAAGCCCUACCCCAGGCAGGCAUAAGUGGCUCCAAAAGGUGCAACACUCAGAAGCAGUACCUACCGAAUGUGUUCCCGGACACUCCAUGCUCUGUACCACAUUCAUGUCUACAAGGUCUAAUUCUGUUCUUUCCUUCUAGGCCUCCCAAAUUGUUUAAACCCAUUUCAAACUCUAGUUUACUUAUAUUUCCAGCUGAAAAAGGAAUGAUUCUAAAUUCAUGAUUGAUUUUGCUGCCUUGCAGUAGUGCGUUCUGUGUGUCACCCAGUCAGAUGCUGUUCUAUUCUUUAAUGACUCUGUCUAAUGGGAAUCUUUGUUCAUCCUGGACCUUCAGAGAAACUAGCCCUGCUGUCCCUCACUUUGGUCUCUAGAACUCAGGAAUGGAGAUUGGAAAACUUUUGUACUACUUGCCAUCAUUUCCAACAGUGCUCCUAACAAGUUUGCUCUUUUUUUCCACUUAAGUUUUUAUCAGCAAUCAACUUUUAGUGCCAUUACAAACUUAUCUUAAAAAAGUGCUAUUUUCUACUGAAUCUGAAACUUUCCAGUUGUGUUUGAUUAUAAGCAGUUGUAAGAAUUUACAUGUGGCAGACUCCCUGGAAUUUUUUCCUAUAAUAAUUCAACAACUUUUGCACUAAAAACUCAAUAUUAUUUUCAAGUCUUUUUAAGUAUGACUAAAUAAGAUUUACUAAAAAUAAUGAAAAGCUCCAAGGUUUUUAUUUUUCCUGUAUUAUGAUAAACAUAAUCAAAUUUACAUACUUGCAUAAUUUUAUUUUUCAUGCUAAAAAUGUUAAAAGAAAAAUGAUCAACGUUAAGAUCUUUAUGAUAUAUUUAAACUCAGUUUUCAUGAGUCAUAGAUGAAUUGAUAAUUUUCUAUUCACACAUCUCUUCAAUUACUUAUUAUGAAGCCUCCCAAAAAGCAUAGACUUGGUCUCCUUUAAUACUAUAUUCCAGCCAGCACCGCGGCUCACUAGGCUAAUCCUCCGCCUUGCGGAGCCGGCACACGGGGUUCUAGUCCCAGUCGGGGCACCGGAUUCUGUCCCGGUUGCCCCUCUUCCAGGCCAGCUCUCUGCUGUGGCCAGGGAGUGCAGUGGAGGAUGGUCCAGGUGCUUGGGCCCUGCACCCCAUGGGAGACCAGGAGAAGCACCUGGAUCAGCGUGGUGCGCUGGCCGCAGCACUCCGGCCGCGGCAGCCAUUGGAGGGUGAACCAACGGCAAAGGAAGACCUUUCUGUCUCUCUCACUGUCCACUCUGCCUGUCAAAAAAAAAAAAAAAUACUAUAUUCCCAGAAACAAGAACAGUGAUGAGACAUAGUAGGUAUUCAAUAACUUUUUGUCAAAUAAGUACCAUCACAAGCUAAGAUGUGUUUUCUAAGAGAAAGCAAGAAAGCACUACUAGUUUGUACUAGUUUGAUAAAGACAAGAUACAUUAACAACUUUCUCUUAAUAGUUUGCUAAAGGAAAUUACAAAUGGAUUGUAACACUAGUUAUAUAUUAAGCACUGUACCAUACUGACAACCUGUCAUUCAUUAGAGAUGCUGAGAAGCAAGAGAAGUAGCUGAUGAUAUUAGUAAUCCUAACUUUUAAUAACAUGUCACCCAAGAAAGAAAGAGACAUUUAAUGUGUGACUAUUUGAUGACCAAACACAUGCAUACUCACAUACAUCCUUCAAAUAUUCUCAUUUAACAGAUUAGGAAAAAUGAUACUCAAGAUACUAUAAAUUUCCCCAAAGUUAGAAAACAGCUGAGUUAAUCCUCAAAUCCAAUACUUUUGACUUUAUUUCCAUAUUUUUUUGUUCGUUUGUUUUUUGUUUAUUUUACAGGUAGAGUUAUAGACAGUGAGAGAGAGAGAGACAGAAAGUUCUUCCUUCCAUUGGUUCACUCAUUGAACUUGUAAAAAUCAUAUAAUAAUUCAUAAAUAAUUCUUGGCUUUUUAAAAAAUAUUUUAUUUAUUUAUUUGAAAGUCAAAGUUAAACAUAGAGAGAAGGAGAGGCAGAGAGAGAGAGGUCUUCCAUCUGCUGAUUCACUCCCUAGUUGGUCACAUGGCUGGAGCUACUCAAUCCAAAGCCAGGAGCCAGGAGCUUCUUCUAGGUCUCCCACGUGGGUGCAAGGGGCCCAAGGACUUGGGUUAUCUUCUACUGCUUUCCUAGGCCAUAGGAGAGAGCUGGCUUGGAAGUAGAGCAGCUGGGACUUGAACCAGCGCCCAUAUGGGAUGCUGGCACUGCAGGCUGUGGCUUUACCCACUAUGCCACAGCACCAGCCCCUAAUUCUUGGAUGUUAUUAAUAUUUUAUGGUAAUGAGUCAAAUUAGACUGUUGAAAAACUAUUUGUAUACUAGAAAUGCAUUACCUUAUGGCUUAAAGAGAGGGUGAAUAAAUUCCAUGUUCUUUCUUCUUCAAGAGGAACCCUUCCACACUCUUAAGUUAUGAAGCCAAGUACAGGAUUUCUAAUAGCUGAAGUAUGCAUCAGUAGCUCUUCAGUUGUUCACUUAAACAAUUUAAGGCUCAAAAAUCAUCUUUUCCCAGAACCCAUAGAGACACUGAUUUACUAUGUUUGAAUUUAGGAACAGAAUUGGUGAUUUUGAUGAUCAGCUGCAUCUGAAAAUCCCUGACAACAGCAUUAUUUAUUUUCCUGUCCAAGACUGAUAGAGAUCUAUGCUGGAAAUGUAAAUUUCACUUACAAAAAUUGCAACUUUUCAAGUCCCUAUUCAGUUGAACAAAAAUUCUUAAUUCCAGGUUCUGUUUUCAGCCUGGGGCUUUGUAUUUCUGAGACACUAUAGCUUCAAUAGAGAUCUUUCCUUUUCCUGUGUGCACCAGGAGGAUGCUCAUAGCAACAUGGUCAACAAUAGAAAAGAACAAAUAUUUACACAUAUAGGGUAGGAUAACAGGUCAAUAAUUUUGAAACUCCAUUACAGUAACAUGUUUUAUAGCAAUGAAAAUGUGAAUGAAACAUAAAAUUAUCAUACUGUAGAGGACAAUAGAGUCUAUAAGACUGAAUAAAAUAUACUAUUUAUAAAACAACAGUCAAACUAAUGUUUACUCACAUAGAAAUAUGUGAUUAAAUAUUUUAAAACAAGAAAAAGAUUUUAUUUAUAGAGUGUGGGAUAAUGAUUAAAUUUGAAGAAAACAAGGGUGAAUUUAAUCUCCACAAAGGUAGAUGAAGUAGAUGAUGAUGUUUUACUUUUUGGAUCAAGUGGUUGGUUUAUUGUUCAUGUUUCACCAAUGCUCUAGAAUUUACAUAAUAGUUCAUACAUUAUUUGGUGAAUCAGAUGUUAUACUAAAAAUAAUGAAGGAAAAUAGGAAAUAUACUCUAGGCAGAAAGAGUAACAUACAAUCCCCAAGGCAAUAAGCAAUAUGCAGUGUUAAAGGGAAUCAAACGAGGGCAAUUAGAGAGCCAUGAGCAGAGACAGAGAAUGGCAAAGGAGGCUGGAGAGGUUAGACGAAGCUAUCAUGCAUUUUUUUUUUUCAUUUCACGUCCAUAACCAUCCUCGGAAGAAUUCCAAUUCACUGUUAUUUUUCACAUUUUUGCAGAGGAAGAAACAAAACUAAAAUAUGAGGAAAGGUGGAUGAAAGCCUCAGCAGAACUGAGAAAAGAAAAAAGCUUGCUCAGAAGGAGUCCAGCCAAGAAGCAAGCUUCAUCUGGCUGCAGAAUCUGUUGAGGAUAAGCUUUUAAGCUUAAAACAAGGAUUAAAUAAGCUUAUGCGUAGAGAAGUUGAACCUGCCAGACCUUCCUUCCAGCUCGAUGAGUCAGGGGACUGUCUUUACAAUACUAUAGGUAUAUUUCUUCAGAAAUUAAUCUAGCCACUCCACAGCCAGGGGGAGCACAAAAGGAGAUAGCCAGAGGAAAAUGUGCUCUCUUAAAAGCAGUGGCAAUUGGACGGGUGUUUUUGCCUAGCAUUUCAGAUAUUGAUCAGAAUGUCCACAUCCCAAAUCAGAUACCUGGCUCUGGCUCCUGACUCCAGCUUCCUGCUAUUGCAGACCCUGGGAGAGAUUAGUGAUGGUUCAAGUAAUUAAGUACCUGUCACUCUCAUAGGAGAACUUGAGUGAAUUCCCAUGUCAUGGAACUGGCCCUGUCCAGACUUCCUGUUGCAGGCAUUUUGGGAGUGAACCAGUGGAUGGAAACUCUAUCUCUCUGUCUCUCAAAUAUAUUAUUGAUAUUAUAUAUAUAUAUAUAUAUAUAAAUUGAAGAAAGAACUGAAGAGAAAUUCUGCCUACUGAAUAUGUAAGCUCUCAGCCCUACAUGUAACUCUAACCUUAGAUGUUUGCCAUCCAAGUGCAUAGCCUCCCAGGCAGAACAGAAUAUUCUCCUCUCAAGUGGUCACAGACAAAAUACCGCUAAAUGCCCUAAAUGUUGAUAUUUGGGACUGCUCUGAUGGAAAGUUAUGAUCCUCAUCUGAUCAAUAUACACUAAGGAUUCACCCAUUAACGUCCAUUAAAUUUUUACUGCUUCAGACAUUUGAGAAAACUUUAAUAAUUGGAAGAUAAGGACCAAAACAGAAAUGAAGAAGUCAGAGUAAAAUAAACAUAAUGCAGGAAAGACAAGAAAUUUUAGAAAUAUAUGUGAUCACUUCAUAGGGAAAAAAUACUGUGCACACGAUAAAUAAAAACAGAAUGUUACAUAAAUUGAAUAUUCAUAAAAUAAGAGUUCUUGGAAAUAAUAUAGACAUUAGGAUAGCAAAGAAAAAUCUAAAGAAAGUCCUGCAGUUAAAAGUUGAGAAAUUAAACCAUAAAUAGAUAAAAAAGUCAAAAAGAAAAACAAGCAUAAUCUUCCCAGAGAAAAGCACAUGUAGAGGCUCAGUCCUUUGCCUUUUCCUGUCUUUACUCAAAGGCCGCUUGAGUAGUGAGCCCUCCUCUGAUGAUCCUGCUUCCAAUCGCAAUGUACCUGUUCUGCAGGCAUAACCUAUCAUUCAGUCUUGCUUUAUUGUUUUCAUUUAUUUUUUGCAUAUUUUUGAAUUUAUCUAUUUCUUGCAUCUUCUCACUACGAUACAAACCCCAUGAGAUUUAUUUCCUUGUUUUUUUCACUACUGUAUCUCUGGUAGUUACGACAUUGAAUGUAUGUGAGAGGGAGGGAAAAGGCAAACUAACAAUAUAACAAUAUAAACUAUUAAAGUUGAACUUAAAAGGGAGAGCAUGCAGGUAAGAAAAAAGCCGAUGUAUAUAUUAUUCAUAUCAAUGACUCAUUACAUAUUAUCAAGAGGAACAGAAAUCUUAAUAUAGUUCACAACGAUUUAAAGAUAAACAGAAUAGUAAUCAGCAACUUUAAAAGUAUCAGCAAGAGAACACAGAAAAUUCAAACGAAAGUGUGAUGAAUUUUUAUUAUCAUUAGUUAUAUACUGAUAGACAAUGCCUUUGAAGAUGCAAUUUAAUUGAAACAGUCAUAUUUAAACAGUGUACACAAUAUGCUAACAUUGCUGUUUUUAGAACUAUAUGUGCUUAUUGAUGCAAAUAACAUUUCUAUAAAUACAUCAAGUAAUUCUCAGCAAAGGGCCCCUCUGUGUAAAAGUCUGCAUAAUCUUUUUGAACUCAGUAUCAUGGCAUGCGUUCCAAUAGGCAUGCAUUAGCUUUUUAAAACUUUUUAAGUGAAUGAGAACUCUCUUUGCUGCACAGAUUAUCCCCUUUUUCUUUUUUUAACAAUCUUUAUUUCCUUGCAUGUCUCUUCCAGUCUUCUGGCAUGUCACCUGUGUCUUCCAGUUUAUCUCCCUGCAGAAUCCAAGAACAUGUUUAUUAUUUCUUCCAUAGCACUUACCUCAUUAUUUAAUUGCUAUUCAUUAAAAGGGUUGUUUCCUUCAGAACACCAUGAGCUCCGUGGAAAUUUAUCCAUUUUGGAAUACCUCAAUAAUUAGCACACAGGUUUAUUUGUAUCUAUACUGGCCCACCACAUUCUACUAUACAUCCAAACCACAGGAGCCUAAUAAAUGAUCUUUUGCCUUGGUGCAUAAGCACUUUUAGGGAUUCCCUCUACUUCAGCUCCCCAUUUGUGCUUCUUAAUUUUCCUUUUGGCCAGCACUGCGGCUCACUAGACUAAUCGUCCACCUGCGGCACCAGCACCCCGGGUUCUAGUCCCGGUUGGAGCGCCAGUUCUGUCUGGUUGCUCCUCUUCCAGUCCAGCUCUCUGCUGUGGCCCGGGAAGGCAGUGGAGGAUGGCCCAAGUGCUUAGGCCCUGCACCCGCAUGGGAGACCAGGAGGAAGCAACUGGCUCCUGGCUUUGGAUCAGCGCAGCGCGCCAGCCGCAGCAGCCAUUUGGGGGAUAAACCAAUGGAAGGAAGACCUUUCUCUCUAUCUCUCUCACUAACUCUGCCUGUCAAAAAAAAUAAUAAUAAAUUUUCCUUUUAUCUAUUGCUUAUUCUGGUAUAAUUUAUAUACAAUAAACUCUUUUUGGUGUAUAAUUGUAUGAUUUUUGUCAAAUCAGGUGCUUGUACUGUGGCACUACGGGUUAAGCAGCAGUUUGCAAUACCAGCUAUUCUGUUUUUGAUCCUGAUUCCUGCCGAAGUACCUGGGAAAGCAGUGGAAGAUGGCCCAAAUACAUGGGCCCCUGCCACCCACAUAGGCAAUGAGGAUACAUUUCUUGGCUCAUGGCUUUGGCCUGGCCAAGACUCUGCUGUUGGAGCCAUUUGGGGAGGGAAUCAGAGGAUGGAGGUACUUCUCUCUCUGUCACUGUCUCUGUGUCUUCUUCUCUCUGUUACUUUGCCUUUCAAAUAAAUCCUUUUUUAAAAUGUCUACAAUUAUAGAAACACUACCGAUAACAAAAUUGGCAUACAAAAUCAUCAUCAACCCCCAAGAAUUUAACAUGCUUCUUGAGAGUCAAUACCUCCCUCCACCCCUAAUUACUAGUAUUCUCUGAUUUGUUUUCUGUCCCUUUUGUUUUGCCAUUUACAUAAUGUCAUAAAGAUGGAAUAUACAUGUAAAGUCCUUAUUUUAAUUUUAUUUAAGUUAUACAAGUUUCAUGCAUGUCAUAUAUAGAUUUAGGAACAUGGUGAUACCUCCCACCCUACCCUGCCUCCAACCUAUGCUCCAACCCUUCUUCUUCCUCCCUCUCCUAUUCCCACUCUUAAUUUUUAUAAAGAUCUACUUUCAGUUUCUUAAUGAUCGUAAAGUUCAAGUGAGUUUCUUAUUUCAUUUUGCAAACAUGCAUUUGAGAUUCUUUGUUGCUCUUGCAUGUAUGAUUCAUUUCCUUUUAGUCCUUACUCCUCUAACUCCUCUAUUCUAUCAUGUGAACAUACAUUUUGUUCAUCCAUUCAGCUGUUGAAGAGCAGUUGGCCUGACUCAAGUUUAGGGAAAUGAUAAGUAAAUCCAUACAUUAAUGUAUAUAUUUAUGUGUGAAUUUAAGUGUCACUUGGGAAAAUACUUAGGAGUUGGCUUCUUAGGCGUAAUGUUAAAUGUAUGCCAUACUAUAAAAGAAAUUGACAAACUGAUUUUUCAAGUAGCUGAAUCAUCUUUCAUUUUCAGCAGCAAAGUAUGAGAGCUGCAGUUGCUCUGUGUUGUCCCCAACAUUUCACACUACCAGUUCUUUAAGCCUGUUUAAUAGGUUUAUCUGAUUCAUUGUGAUCUUAAUUUAUAUCUCCCCAAUCACUAACAUUGUUGAGCAGCAUUUCAUGUACUUAUUUUUCACCCUGUGGCUUUAAUGUAAAUUAUCUGUUCAAAUGUUUUGAAUAACUUUUUAGAGAUUGAAUUCUUAUUUUUUAAUUUUUUAACAGAUUCAAUAUAAUUCAUAGAUACAAUUCUAAGAAUAUACUGAUAUUCCAUUCCUCCCUCCCUCUCUCUAAGAGGUUGAUUUUGAACAGGGAAGGGAAGGUGGAGAGGAGAGCAAAGUGGAAAGAAAGCGGCAGGGAGGUGGGGUUGGAGAAGGAAACUGAAACUCAGUGGUCUGGGCUGAGAUUUAGUCUUCAAGGAAAUUAUCAAAGGUUUGGAGAAUUAAACGAGAACCAAGUUCUGACUUACAGUUUGCUUUAUUGAACAGAAGUCUAACUCCAUGGUGUGUCCAGUGAGGUGAUAAUCCAUUCAGAUCCACAUGCUUUAGUAUAGGAGGUGGGACAAAUACUUCAAGACAGGCAUAUCUGGGUCCCAAAAAGACAACCAUCACGUGUUUUCUCUGAUAUGUGGUAGUUAAUAUAGAAUACAAAUAUAUAUAUAAAUAUAUAGGAAUGAAAAGGACAUCUUGUGAUUGGAUAACUUUUUUUUUUUUUU
Non-coding RNA from Oryctolagus cuniculus (rabbit), 12310 nucleotides. The record is from RefSeq and is a predicted model, not a curated record. Lineage: Eukaryota; Metazoa; Chordata; Mammalia; Lagomorpha; Leporidae.